GAUGAACGCUGGCGGCGUGCCUAAUACAUGCAAGUCGAGCGAACAGACGAGGAGCUUGCUCCUCUGACGUUAGCGGCGGACGGGUGAGUAACACGUGGAUAACCUACCUAUAAGACUGGGAUAACUUCGGGAAACCGGAGCUAAUACCGGAUAAUAUAUUGAACCGCAUGGUUCAAUAGUGAAAGACGGUUUUGCUGUCACUUAUAGAUGGAUCCGCGCCGCAUUAGCUAGUUGGUAAGGUAACGGCUUACCAAGGCAACGAUGCGUAGCCGACCUGAGAGGGUGAUCGGCCACACUGGAACUGAGACACGGGCCAGACUCCUACGGGAGGCAGCAGUAGGGAAUCUUCCGCAAUGGGCGAAAGCUUGACGGAGCAACGCCGCGUGAGUGAUGAAGGUCUUCGGAUCGUAAAACUCUGUUAUUAGGGAAGAACAAAUGUGUAAGUAACUAUGCAUGUCUUGACGGUACCUAAGCAGAAAGCCACGGCUAACUACGU
RNAcentral lists this ribosomal RNA (496 nucleotides) under uncultured bacterium. Its description in RNAcentral is "partial 16S ribosomal RNA". It matches the Rfam family "Bacterial small subunit ribosomal RNA", at positions 28 to 506 of the family's 1533-position model. The record is from RNAcentral.